This 490-nucleotide ribosomal RNA is filed under the name uncultured bacterium. RNAcentral describes it as "partial 16S ribosomal RNA". It matches the Rfam family "Bacterial small subunit ribosomal RNA", at positions 30 to 507 of the family's 1533-position model. The record is from RNAcentral.
AUUGAACGCUGGCGGCAGGCCUAACACAUGCAAGUCGAAUGGUAACAGGAAACAGCUUGCUGUUUCGCUGACGAGUGGCGGACGGGUGAGUAAUGUCUGGGAAACUGCCUGAUGGAGGGGGAUAACUACUGGAAACGGUAGCUAAUACCGCAUAACGUCGAAAGACCAAAGAGGGGGACCUUCGGGCCUCUUGCCAUCAGAUGUGCCCAGAUGGGAUUAGCUAGUAGGUGGGGUAACGGCUCACCUAGGCGACGAUCCCUAGCUGGUCUGAGAGGAUGACCAGCCACACUGGAACUGAGACACGGUCCAGACUCCUACGGGAGGCAGCAGUGGGGAAUAUUGCACAAUGGGCGCAAGCCUGAUGCAGCCAUGCCGCGUGUAUGAAGAAGGCCUUCGGGUUGUAAAGUACUUUCAGCGGGGAGGAAGGGGGUAAAGUUAAUACCUUGGCUCAUUGACGUUACCCGCAGAAGAAGCACCGGCUAACUCCGUG